RNAcentral lists this ribosomal RNA (601 nucleotides) under uncultured bacterium. RNAcentral describes it as "bacterial SSU rRNA". It matches the Rfam family "Bacterial small subunit ribosomal RNA", at positions 724 to 1329 of the family's 1533-position model. The record is from RNAcentral.
GCUCGCGGGAGCGCAACUGACGCUGAAGCUCGAAAGUGCGGGUAUCGAACAGGAUUAGAUACCCUGGUAGUCCGCACGGUAAACGAUGGAUGCCCGCUAUUUGUCCAUUAGGAUAAGUGGCCAAGUGAAAACGUUAAGCAUCCCACCUGGGGAGUACGCCGGCAACGGUGAAACUCAAAGGAAUUGACGGGGGCCCGCACAAGCGGAGGAACAUGUGGUUUAAUUCGAUGAUACGCGAGGAACCUUACCCGGGCUUGAAUUGCUGAGGAAAGAUCCAGAGAUGGUGAUGCCCUUCGGGGCCUCAGUGAAGGUGCUGCAUGGUUGUCGUCAGCUCGUGCUGUGAGGUGUCGGCUUAAGUGCCAUAACGAGCGCAACCCCUCUCUUCAGUUGCCAUCAGGCUAUGCUGGGCACUCUGGAGACACUGCCACCGUAAGGUGUGAGGAAGGUGGGGAUGACGUCAAAUCAGCACGGCCUUUACGUCCGGGGCUACACACGUGUUACAAUGGGUGGUACAGAGAGUUGGGUGCCCGCAAGGUCACUCUAAUCAAUAAAUCCAUCCUCAGUUCGGACUGGGGUCUGCAACCCGACCCCACGAAGCUGG